This is an RNA transcript of Triticum dicoccoides, 3409 nucleotides long. RefSeq lists it as uncharacterized. The transcript has 5 exons. The record is from RefSeq and is a predicted model, not a curated record. NCBI's taxonomy places the organism in Eukaryota, Viridiplantae, Streptophyta, Magnoliopsida, Poales, Poaceae.
UGCGCCUCGCAGCCAAUCCUGCCCUCGACUCGUCCCGCUCCCACACGAACCGCCAGACUAAACCCUAGCCUCUUUCCCCUCGAUCCCCACAGCCUCUCCUGCCUCCUCCAUCUCUCUCCUCGCGUCACCAUGGGAGCCCCGCCGACGCCUGCUGGUCGUCCUCCCUCGUCUCUGUUCGAAGCCGAGGACCAGCUCACUCCACAGCUUUUCUUCACCCACGACCUAGGGUUGGGGAGGCCGGGUCUUCUCGGUGGGGUGGAGGAGCAGGGGAUGGCCGGGAGGCCGACCGUGGGGGAGCAUCGAGGCCGGCGGAUGGAGCAGCGAGUCCCAAGCUCUAGGCGUCGUACACAUUGCGGGAUGGAGAAAGGCCGUCAUGGGGUGCAAGGGGCAGCGGGGGAAGAACGGUGGGUCUUUCAUCUCCUCUCUUCUAAUCGCGACUCCUACGACCUCGCCACCGUUGCUCGCUCGACUGGCGUAUGGGGCGGCAGCCGGGACGUUGGCCCUCGGCCGAACUCGAAGGCGAGUCUAGAUGAUGAGACCCGUGCGAUUGUGUGAAGCAAAUGUACAUGGCGAUGCAGGCCGGCGGUUAGUGUUGCAGCCUGCACACACGAUAGGAGCAGCAGUCGGGUCCAUGGGCGUUGCUUGGGGAGCAGCGGUCAAGCCACGGGGUACCAUCAAUUCAGAAAAUAACUUCCCUUCUUGUGAGAUAUCAAACAAUACAUGUCCUACAAAUCCGAGAUUCAGGCAGCCUUGUUGAGGUACGAAGAAUUGGCGCAUUUUGUCGGAAGAUGACAAACUAUUUCUUCAUUCACAUGGCCAGGCUGCACAGGGAAGUUCUUUUCUUCCUGGUAUCAAGCAAUGGUUGCUAUCAUUUAUUUUCCGCAAGACUUGGAAUGAGGAACCUGAACAUGCUUUCGUUACCUACUUAGCUGUAUUACACGCCAUUCAUUCAUUUGCUAUGUGAUCUUGAUCUGAGGUUUGCAUUCUUACUUGAUUGGUUAUUCCCAGAUUAAUCUCAAUGUUUUUAAUGCUCAAGUCAAUUAUGAUGCUUAAAAUCGUCUCUUAACUUAUUGCAUUCACUGCUGAAAUUUUCACACUCCCUGUCAUUAUUGUGUACAGUGAAUCUUGCAUCUUUUGAAUUGUUGAAACAAACUUUAUGCUUAAUUGCUUACGCCCCUCUCUUGGUCGUGUGGUCUUUGUUGUGAAGGAAAAAUGUUUUGUCUCGAUUUGUUUGAAAUAGUAAAAAGAAAUUGCAGAGGGUCCUGCAUCUGAAGAAGAAAUUUUAUUUCUACUUUCAAGACUAUGUGGAUCUUAUCAUAUGGAAGGUACCUAAUAUAUAUACUUUCAAGUCUAGCUUUAUUGAAUCACAAUAGUAUUGUGUAAACAUAGUUUGUUGGUUCUGAACUUUUGCGGCACAUAAAUUUUAGUCAGGAAUUAUGAUAUUGGCCAUUUCCACUGAACAAUAGAAGGACACAUGUAAGGACAUAUAGAAACUGAAGUUAACAUAAUCCCAUAGAAUAUAGUGUGAGAAUAGUACACCGAUUUAGUGAGGCAAGUACUGGCUUGUUUUGCCAUCCCUGUGUUGAAAGUUAGUUUAGGUAAUCUUGGUAUAAAAUCAUUUCCUUAAAUUAUAACUUAUGGUCGGACAUUGUUAUUUCACCUGAAUAUUUGAUUAUACAUCUAAGUUAUGGGAAAUAGAUAGAGUAAGAGGAAAUUGGGCGUUCUUUGGUGGGACCUUGCCACGGUUGCCUUGGGUUUUGGCAUCAAGCUCGACUCUAUAUGGCUAGCCUUCCAUGGUUAGAUCUAGGGACCCAAGCUGCAGGUGAGCUCUUCUUUUCAUCUACAGGUUAUGAGUUAUAUCCACCUCAAUGAGAUUUAGUUUGCGCACUAACAACUAUAGGUUGCGUAAUGUUUCGAGUGUUCUUCCAUAUUUCUCCAGUUUAGUCGUGUAUUUCUUUGCGGCCAUGUUCGCUUCAAUAUCCCCUUCUGAUUCUCACACGUUGGUUGCAACUUCUUUGUUUAUGUUGGACUAUUCUGUGAACUGCCAUCAUGACAGCUUGCUGAAAAUAGUGUUGUCGGAUUGGUAGCCAUUAUUAAGUGCUUAUCAGUUAACUUAGCUGAGCUCUACGGGGCAGCCAAAUGAUUAUUGGGUGAUUUAUUUGCAGUAAAUUAUAGUGUUUCUUUGAUUGAUUCUAGGAUGUGCUUGAGCAUAACUUGGUCACAUCACAGAUUAAUCUAUUCAGUAGUAGAAUGUUGGAAUGAAGUAUUAGAUAGAUAAUUUGUUCAUCCAAGUCUCUCCUUGCUCCCAUUUCCUCCAAGUAAAUAUGCAAUCAUGAACAAGCACUGGGAAUCUUUGGUUUACUGUUUCUUUUCCUCUGGAUUCCUACCAGUGCCUAGCGUCAGUGUUAUUUAGAGUUUUUGGUAAUUUAUUCAGUAGAGCGAAAUUGUGCCUUUCAUCUCAUGUUCUUGUGUCACAAUAAAGUAUGGUAUAGAAGAUAAUUCAAUUAACAAAAAUAUUGUGGUAUCCAUUUAGUUCAAAAUGGACCAAUUCCUACAUGGACAACCAAUUGACUGGACUAUGUGUUAGAAUUUAGUUCAAAAUGCACCAGUUCUUACAUGGACAACCAUUUGACUGAACUAUGUGCGAGAACUUAGGUUUCCUUCAUGGUACUGAACGACAACCUAAUGACGUGAUUCCAGGAAGGGAAGGAUGUGGUCGCAAAGGCCAAGACUGGUUCUAGAAAGACCUUUGCCUACCUUAUCCGCUGCUGCAAGAGUUGUUGAAGUUGUGCAAAGAAGGGGUAUUCAGAAAUCUGCACCAAAUGCCUUAAUCCUGGUGCCAACUCGCGACUUAUGCCAGUAGGUAUCUGACUUCUGUUUCUUCGCAAGAUAUUUCGUAUGUAUAGGCAACUACUUUAGAGUCGCUUAACCUAGCCAUGUUUAAUUGGACAUAUAAAUGAGUUUAAAAUUGAGAGCAGUUGUCGCCAUUGAGAAUGGUUGGCAUCUACAUUAUUUGUAGAUUUGGUGUUUGGUUGAUUUGACAUAUAAAUGAGUGUAAAAUUCACGAGCAUGACAAAUGGUCCAUGUAAAUUUGAGCAAAGUCGUAAGAGGUACUAAUUAAUAUCUGAACAUGCCACUCUCUGAAUUCUGGAAUGACCAGACAUGAUCUUUUGUUUGUCAUGUAUGCCAUUACUAAGUGUUGUAGUUACGCUGGUUGUAGUAAUUCGACACUUUAUAUGGAAGGUGUGAAAGUUAAAGGUCUGUGAAAUACUGUGCUAAACUCUUAUUUGUGGGUCAGGUUAAAGAUCCCAUGUUAGUUUGCUUGCUUUAUGUUCAGAAGGGACAAUGUAAUAUUGGUUAAGUCAAGUUUUUAUAUAUUCUUAUUACUGCUUACUUAUUUAUCAACUGA